CAAGUCGAGGGGCAGCAUGGUGUAGCAAUACACUGAUGGCGACCGGCAAACGGGUGCGGAACACGUACAGAACCUUCCUUCGAGCGGGGAAUAGCCCAGAGAAAUUUGGAUUAAUACCCCAUAGUAUAACAGAGAGGCAUCUCUUUGUUAUUAAAGAUUUAUCACUUGAAGAUGGCUGUGCGGCUGAUUAGGUAGUUGGCGGGGUAACGGCCCACCAAGCCUACGAUCAGUAACUGGUGUGAGAGCACGACCAGUCGCACGGGCACUGAGACACGGGCCCGACUCCUACGGGAGGCAGCAGUAAGGAAUAUUGGUCAAUGGGCGAAAGUCUGAACCAGCCAUGCCGCGUGAAGGAUGAAGGUCCUCUGGAUUGUAAACUUCUUUUAUAUGGGACGAAAAUGGGCCUUUCUAGGUCAACUGACGGUACCAUAAGAAUAAGCACCGGCUAACUCCGUGCCAGCAGCCGCGGUAAUACGGAGGGUGCAAGCGUUAUCCGGAUUCACUGGGUUUAAAGGGUGCGUAGGUGGGUUGGUAAGUCAGUGGUGAAAUCCCCGAGCUUAACUCGGGAACUGCCAUUGAUACUAUCAGUCUUGAAUAUCGUGGAGGUCAGCGGAAUAUGUCAUGUAGCGGUGAAAUGCUUAGAUAUGACAUAGAACACCAAUUGCGAAGGCAGCUGGCUACCCGAAUAUUGACACUGAGGCACGAAAGCGUGGGGAUCAAACAGGAUUAGAUACCCUGGUAGUCCACGCCCUAAACUAUGGAUACUCGACAUAUGCGAUACACUGUAUGUGUCUGAGCGAAAGCAUUAAGUAUCCCACCUGGGAAGUACGACCGCAAGGUUGAAACUCAAAGGAAUUGGCGG
RNAcentral lists this ribosomal RNA (862 nucleotides) under uncultured bacterium. Its description in RNAcentral is "bacterial SSU rRNA". It matches the Rfam family "Bacterial small subunit ribosomal RNA", at positions 58 to 916 of the family's 1533-position model. The record is from RNAcentral.